Molecule: transfer RNA, 72 nt
Filed under: Candidatus Woesearchaeota archaeon
Lineage: Archaea; Nanobdellati; Candidatus Woesearchaeota
Description: tRNA-Val
Rfam family: tRNA
About the family: Transfer RNA (tRNA) molecules are approximately 80 nucleotides in length.
Source: RNAcentral
GGGCCCGUGGUCUAGUGGUAUGACAUCACCUUGACGUGGUGAGGGUCGCCGGUUCGAAUCCGGCCGGGCCCA